GAGGAAUGUAUAGCAAUAGCUACUUGCAUCAUAGUUAAUAUGAUGCAAGCUCGACUAAGUUGAAUAAAAUUCUAGGUAGAAUUAUGAUAAUGACAUUGUCUGCCUAUGUGUCUUGACCAAAUUACGUGCCAGCAGUCGCGGGAAUACGUAGAAGACUAGUGUUAUUCAUGUUUAAUCGGUUUAAAGGGUACCUAGACGGUGAAUCAAGCUUUGGUGUAAAUAAUAAAAACCAUAUUGUAUAAGACCUAUAUUUGAGAUACAUAUUUACAUAUGAUAAGGACUAAUUUACUAGAGUUACUUACGAGGGGGUAUUAAAGUACUGCUGGUGUAGAGAUGAAAUUCUGUCAUACCUCUUUUCGAAAGAAAAAUCAUGGCACAGGUAUAGGCGAAGGCAUCCCCUUAUGGGCUAACUGACGUUGAGGGACGAAGGCUUCAUGUAACAAACAGGAUUAGAUACCCUAGUAGUUGAAAGCAGAAAAUGAUGAAUGUCAUAGAUUAGAUAUAUAAGUUUAUUCUAUAAAUGAAAGUGUAAGCAUUCCACCUCAUGAGUAAUUUGGCAACAUUGGAAUUGAAAUCAUUAGACCGUUUCUGAAACCAG
RNAcentral lists this ribosomal RNA (598 nucleotides) under Flavoparmelia caperata. RNAcentral's name for it is "SSU rRNA". It matches the Rfam family "Bacterial small subunit ribosomal RNA", at positions 356 to 929 of the family's 1533-position model. Lineage: Eukaryota; Fungi; Ascomycota; Lecanoromycetes; Lecanorales; Parmeliaceae. The record is from RNAcentral.